RNAcentral lists this ribosomal RNA (402 nucleotides) under Elphidium sp. S4. Its description in RNAcentral is "SSU rRNA". It matches the Rfam family "Eukaryotic small subunit ribosomal RNA", at positions 1197 to 1430 of the family's 1831-position model. The record is from RNAcentral. Lineage: Eukaryota; Foraminifera; Rotaliida; Elphidiidae.
GACUCACGCGGGAAUCUUACCGGGUCCGGACACACUGAGGAUUGACAGGUUUCGAGAGUUUUUUUGGAGUUCGCUCCAGAAUGCUCUCUUAAAUAUGCUAGUCCUUUCAUGAUUAUGUGAUAGGUGGUGCAUGGCCGUUCUUAGUUCGUGGAGUGAUCUGUCUGCUUAAUUGCGUUUCACUAAAGGCGUCAUUAUAUUUUUGUGCUUGUGUUUGACCCCUCUUUCUUCGGAUUGAGCGCGUGUCUUUCACACACAAUUACUUUGACGUCUGAAAGCAACGAACGUGACCGUAACCUCUUGUUGCCUUCUCUUCUCUUCGGAGAAUGCUAGUUUUUUUCUUCGGAUAAAUUCUAGUAUAUGGAGGCUUUUACUCAAACUAGAGGGACCGCUGUUACUUUCUUU